This is a long non-coding RNA of Ictalurus punctatus (channel catfish), 1722 nucleotides long. RefSeq lists it as uncharacterized. NCBI's taxonomy places the organism in Eukaryota, Metazoa, Chordata, Actinopteri, Siluriformes, Ictaluridae. The transcript has 2 exons. The record is from RefSeq and is a predicted model, not a curated record.
ACAGGACUACAUGCAGUCAUUCCUCACUCAACAUGCUACAAACCACUUUGGACACAAAGAUUGCUUACAACUGCAGAGAGGUUCCUUAUUCCACAGUUGAAGGCUGCAUUUCUGAUCCAGAGAUCCCAUGCAGUGACUGCCUAUGAGAAUGGCAUCUGUUCCACAUGCACUGAAGACUAAUCUACAUAAUCUACAAUCUGUAAUUUAACUGAACUGCAAAUGGGAAUAAACCUAGUUUCUCUAGUAUACCGAUUAAUCCAAAUUGCAGUAGCUAAACUUUUUCACUAAUCAUUGGUGUCAGGGUUAUGCUGAAAUCGGUGCUUUAAUACCCAUCAGCCCCUGCAUGUCACAUGGCCUUGUCACAUGUCUCACUGAACACUCACACCUGUUCUGUGUUACCCCUAAUCAGCACAGUCAUCAAGUACUGUCUUGGAGGAAUGAUUCUGCAUAGUUCUUUAUCUUCAAUUUAAUCUUAAAUAGAGGUGGUGAAAUUAAAUUUAUACUUGCUUGUGAUUUUAAAUCUACUAAAGAUCCAAUUAAACUGUCCAACUUUCAAAAGCAAGCUUUAGAUGCAUGGAAAUUAGCCUACAAACAAUUGUUCUCCUUACUCAUUUGUUAAAUGGAACAAUCAACAUAUAUUAUUGAUUUAACAAAGGAUUUAUUUUUUUAUAGACCUAUUAAAUCCUUCGGGUGAUCUUUAUAGUUACAUUGAAUUCAUUAAUAUCUUUGGGAUAAAUGUAUGUCAGAAAGAAUAUUUAAAACUUGUUUGCUGUAUUUCCCCAAAAUGACUUAAUCUUAUUAAAAAUGAAAUGAUAUAUAAACCUGUAAUUGGUUCUCUUCCGGGUCUUACUGUUGAGGGAAAUAGAUUAGGGAUAAAUAAUUUAAUAUCCAUUGGCUUGGAGGAAUUUUAGCCCAUUACAGAACAGUACAGAACAGCUUCAACUCUGGGAUGUUGGUGGGUUUCCUCACAUGAACUGCUUGCUUCAGGUCCUUCCACAAAAUUUUUAUUUUGACUUUCCAUUCCAAAACGUUACCUUUAUUCUUCUUUAACCAUUCUUGUUUAAUCAAAUUAGUCGACUGUAAAUAACUGUUAAAACAAACUGUAUAAUACAAAAUUCAAUUAUUGUGAUGUGGUCACAGGUGUGUGAGGAUUUUACAAUAGCUUUACACAAGGCUCAGCCAAUCAGAUUUUACAGCCCAUGUCCUUUAACAUCCUGUUUUCUUUUUCCUUUCAAUGAAUUCACAUUACCAUCGGGCAAAUUUUAUUUCUGUUUAGUCUGACCACUGAUUCUGACGCUAAAAGAAGUGGUGCACUUGUUAAGGGCACAGGGACAGGGGGACCCAAAAGCAGAACACACACACAGGGAUCCAAGAUGAAACGGGUUUUAUUAACGAGCGGAAGGGGGUGAGAGUGUGAGGGAAAGGUGAGUUGAAUGGAGUUGUCAACAAAUAUCAAAAAGCUAAAAGGUGUGCAUCAUACCUGACACCUACAUGAACACUGUACAGUUGCUUUUCUGACUGUAUUUUCUUCAAAUGCUAUUGAGCUUUGCCAUGUUCUAAAUUAUGGUAUAUUUUAAAAAUCACAAUGCUUAGAUAUGAUUGACAGUUUAUUUUAAUAAACAUAAAAAAUACUAAAAGGUGUGCAUCAUAGCUGACAUCUUCAUGAACACUUUACAGUUGCUUUUGUGACUUCAAAUGCUAUUAAAGUUAGAAACGUGUAUA